UGGGUUCUUUCUUCACACGGAUAGACCGACGUCCGACUCCCGUGAGUGUCCCGCUGGGCGUGGUGCGCCAUGACCCCCGCCGUGCUUCCCCUCGCCCCCUCGCCUCCUUAUCCAAAGCCACCACGGCUAUGCCACAAACCCACCCCCGCGCGCCCGCUCUACCGGUGCGACGCCACACGCCGCGACUUCGCUGUCUACACCGCCUCCGCUGCCGCAGCCGCAAUGAGCCCCGCCGCCGCUACUGCGGCAGAUGAGGGGCUCCCUUCGGCGUCACAGUCACCGACGCUUCACCCUCCAAACGGCGGGGCUACCUCGUUGUUGGUCGGCAUCGCAAACACGAGGUCGUGGUGGCAGUACUACGGCAGCGGCUUCUCCAUCCGCGUGCCGCCGUCCUUCGACGACAUCUUGGAGCCCGAGGAUUUCAGCGCCGCCAUGACCUAUUAUGGCGACAAGGCCAAGGUCAGGGCGUACGCAGCUCGGUUCGCAUCUCCAGAUAGGUCAGAACUUGUAAGCGUGGUAAUCAAGCCAUCUAAUCAGCUCAAGAUCACAUUCCUAGAGGCCAAAGAUAUAACGGAGUUGGGCACUCUAAAGGAGGCGUCCAAGUUAUUUGUACCUGGCGGUGCAAAAAUAUACUCAGCUCGAACAAUUAAAGUUAAGGAUCAGGAGGGUAUCAGGACGUAUUACUUCUACGAAUUUCGUUUUGACAGACAACAUGUUGCUCUAAUGGCCACCGUGGAUAGUGGGAAGGUACUGGCUUGUCACAUUUUAUUUACAUUUUUGGAAGAAAUAAAGACAAAUGAUAUUUUCUUUUCUUUUGCUUUUCAUCAUGUAUUUUGUGCGAAAAUUCGUUUCUGAGCCCGGGCUCAAGUGCACCUGAUAUCUUGGCCAUCCAGUCACAUGUGGAUUCCCGCUACAUAUAUCGCUGCCGCCACUGCUCCAGAGACGAGGUGGGAGACGGAUGGAGUGACAUUGCGUUCGGCUGCUGUAUCUAUGUCUCUCGUGUGAUCUACACUAGUGUCAAAAAUACUCUUAUAUUAUGGGACAGAGGAAGUACUAUUUAUAUAUUAUAGAACUACGGUAUUAAAACA
Molecule: RNA transcript, 1088 nt
Organism: Triticum aestivum (bread wheat)
Lineage: Eukaryota; Viridiplantae; Streptophyta; Magnoliopsida; Poales; Poaceae
Exons: 7
Source: RefSeq, a predicted model, not a curated record